AGAGUUUGAUCCUGGCUCAGAUUGAACGCUGGCGGCAGGCCUAACACAUGCAAGUCGAGCGGUAGAGAGAAGCUUGCUUCUCUUGAGAGCGGCGGACGGGUGAGUAAUGCCUAGGAAUCUGCCUGGUAGUGGGGGAUAACGUUCGGAAACGGACGCUAAUACCGCAUACGUCCUACGGGAGAAAGCAGGGGACCUUCGGGCCUUGCGCUAUCAGAUGAGCCUAGGUCGGAUUAGCUAGUUGGUGAGGUAAUGGCUCACCAAAGCGACGAUCCGUAACUGGUCUGAGAGGAUGAUCAGUCACACUGGAACUGAGACACGGUCCAGACUCCUACGGGAGGCAGCAGUGGGGAAUAUUGGACAAUGGGCGAAAGCCUGAUCCAGCCAUGCCGCGUGUGUGAAGAAGGUCUUCGGAUUGUAAAGCACUUUAAGUUGGGAGGAAGGGCAGUUACCUAAUACGUGAUUGUUUUGACGUUACCGACAGAAUAAGCACCGGCUAACUCUGUGCCAGCAGCCGCGGUAAU
This 521-nucleotide ribosomal RNA is filed under the name uncultured Gammaproteobacteria bacterium. RNAcentral describes it as "bacterial SSU rRNA". It matches the Rfam family "Bacterial small subunit ribosomal RNA", at positions 8 to 524 of the family's 1533-position model. Lineage: Bacteria; Pseudomonadati; Pseudomonadota; Gammaproteobacteria. RNAcentral also lists the same sequence under 1 other name. The record is from RNAcentral.